CUUUUUGGAGAGUUUGAUCCUGGCUCAGGACGAACGCUGGCGGCGUGCCUAAUACAUGCAAGUCGAGCGAAUCUGAUAGGAGCUUGCUCCUU
This 92-nucleotide ribosomal RNA is filed under the name Heyndrickxia sporothermodurans. RNAcentral describes it as "Bacillus sporothermodurans partial 16S ribosomal RNA". It matches the Rfam family "Bacterial small subunit ribosomal RNA", at positions 1 to 88 of the family's 1533-position model. Lineage: Bacteria; Bacillati; Bacillota; Bacilli; Caryophanales; Bacillaceae. The record is from RNAcentral.